UUCGAGUUCAGCCCUUUUCGAGUUAAGCCCCUGCCUCGCCCUUUUUCGCCGGGGGCUUAACUCAAAGUCAAUUAACGAUUUAAGCUUUCGAAUGCUUAAGCUCCGACAUUUGGUGGAUGUAAACAAGUGACGCGUGUAUAUACUCGCAAAAAUAUUGGCAAAUAAGGAGGGAGAAUGUAAAAUUUCAGUAAUUUUAAGAAAUAUAUUUUACUAAGAUCUCUAUUGCUUU
Non-coding RNA from Paramuricea clavata, 229 nucleotides. Lineage: Eukaryota; Metazoa; Cnidaria; Anthozoa; Malacalcyonacea; Plexauridae. The record is from the annotation of a GenBank genome assembly.